Molecule: long non-coding RNA, 1609 nt
Filed under: Strigops habroptila (Kakapo)
Lineage: Eukaryota; Metazoa; Chordata; Aves; Psittaciformes; Psittacidae
Description: lncRNA (ENSSHBG00005021189.1)
Source: RNAcentral
AUAUUGCUUUUAUUUCUUCUUUUUCCUUUCAGAGAAGGAGACAACCAAGAGCUGUGGAUCUGGAGAAGCUGACACUGAUAACGCCCGUCCCACAUCUGAAGCGUCCCUGUUUAUCCCCAAAGGCCAUCAGUUCAGCUCGUGGCUAAGGAAGAAGGAGAAUUGAGAGAAAGAGAACACAUUUUCAGUACCAGAUCAACACUUCAGGCAGAUAGAAGGGUGGGCAGCCAUCCGAGGGGAAGCUUUAAUUUGAGAGAGUCUGUGCUUAACAGCAGCAGUCCAGAGCCCUGCCAUGUCCUUUCCAUCGACUCCUUUUGUUUCUUUCUAAGAAAAAUAUUGUCAGGAGGUCUUUCACAGGGGAGAAGUCAAGGAGGGUAACAGUAAAUCUGCUUGCAGCAGCGAUGGCCAGCCCAGCUCCUGGCUGAUGGCAGCCUUGUGCCGACAGCCUGGCAAAUGAUCCCAAGCCAGAAACAGGACAAAGGACAGUGGUUUUUGGCAAUGCCACCCUCAGGCACUCAGCUGCCAUGGAGGAACUGCGAUCCUGGGGAAAUGAGCCACCUCUCUGCUUGGAGGAGGAGCAGAGUUUACACAUGGGCCCUGGUGCUUGGAGAAUGACUCAAAAUCAGAACAAGGUCCAGAAGGAAAUGAGGAAACUUACAGCAUGAAUGGUACACAUCAGUGAUGUCUGCUGAUACACAGCCAUGUGGGGCAGGGUGAAGCUUGCGCCAGUGACAACCACAAGAGGAGGUGUCUGCUCGGAUGGUUUCAGAAGGCUGUCUACGCUCAGAGGAAGGAUUCAGGGAUGCCAUGAGUGCUUUGAAACACAAAGCAAUGAUGUGCCAUUCAGCACAGCUGUCAAGUGGGGAGCCCAGUCGUGCCGUCUGCUAUGGUAGAAGCUGAGCCAGUCUGGGUGUUACGUGGUGGCCCACAGGCUGGGACAUCAUUGGAGGCUCAGGAGCUGCGGUCCCCAGGUGAGUGAGGAACAAAGGCCUGAGCUGUUUGAGGGCUCUGUCUCCUUUUUGGCCAACCUUCAACAUCAGUUUUGCCCUGGGAAGGAGCAAGGUGUGACUGCAGGAGAACAACAGAUUAAGCUAACUCUGAAUGCAUCACUGCAAGAAAUGAGCGUCUUCCCCAGCGUGCUGAUGCUUCUCUUCCUCUGAAGGUACUUCAUAAGGCAGAAGUAUUGUUGUUUUUGUCUUUGCACUUUGAGAUCACGGAGAAUGGGAUAAACCCCAGACCCUCCCAUCUCUGCCUCUUGCAGGAGCUGGUGCUGGCCCGUGUCACCCCCCCCCAAGAUGAGGCUUGGCCUUUGAUUUUGAGGGCACAGGAAUCUCAUCCUCCAGGCCUGGGAAUUUGAGCCUCAUCACAAAAGCAAAAGUCAAUAGCUCGCAACUGCCAGGUCAGGAAAUACAUUUUGGCUACCUCUGGUUUUAGGAAGAGACUUCUGUUUCCCCUCGGUUUCCCCUCCCUACACGCGGGUGCUACCUCUUUAGAAAUUCCAGCUUAUGGUGGUGGGGAAAUCACAAAAACUGCAAAUAAAGGGAUCAAAACCAUUGUGAAUAAUGUAUCGAAUGGAUACCCAUUUUCCACAUUAAAAUGCUAUAAAAACUUA